RNAcentral lists this ribosomal RNA (369 nucleotides) under Triticum aestivum (bread wheat). RNAcentral describes it as "partial small subunit ribosomal RNA". Lineage: Eukaryota; Viridiplantae; Streptophyta; Magnoliopsida; Poales; Poaceae. The record is from RNAcentral.
AUGUUUUCUGCAAAACUGGACAUUUUGGUAGCUACACUCAUAGAGCAUCCACAGAUGGUGAACGCAUUGGCAGGAGUAAUGACCUCUGUCAUCGCCAAGCUCACCGCCCUGCUCGGGGAGGAGUACGCAAAGCUGAAAGGUGUGCACAGGGAGGUGGAGUUCAUGAAAGAUGAGUUGAGCAGCAUGAACGCGCUCCUUCAGAGGCUGGCAGAGGUGGACCGUGAUCUUGAUGUGCAGACCAAGGAAUGGAGGGACCAAGUCUUGGAGAUGUCUUAUGACAUUGAGGAUUGCAUAGACGACUUUAUGAAAAGCCUUGGCCAAACUGACAGGGCUAAGGCAGCAGGGCUUGUGCAAAGUGUGGUCCAGUAG